CCUACGGGAGGCAGCAGUGAGGAAUAUUGGUCAAUGGGCUUACGCCUGAACCAGCCAAGUCGCGUGAGGGAAGACUGCCCUAUGGGUUGUAAACCUCUUUUGUCAGGGAGCAACGCCGGCUACGUGUAGCCGGACUGAGAGUACCUGAAGAAAAAGCAUCGGCUACCUCCGUGCCAGCAGCCGCGGUAAUCCGAGGGAUGCGAGCGUUAUCCGGAUUGAUUGGGUUUAAAGGGUGCGUAGGCGGAAUGCCAAGUCAGCGGUAAAAUCGCGGGGCUCAACCUCGCUCCGCCGUUGAAACUGGCGUUCUUGAGUGGGCGAGAAGUAUGCGGAAUGCGUGGUGUAGCGGUGAAAUGCAUAGAUAUCACGAAGAACUCCGAUUGCGAAGGCAGCAUACCGGCGCCCAACUGACGCUGAAGCACGAAAGCGUGGGUAUCGAACAGGAUUACAUACCCUUGUAGUC
This 460-nucleotide ribosomal RNA is filed under the name uncultured bacterium. Its description in RNAcentral is "partial 16S ribosomal RNA". It matches the Rfam family "Bacterial small subunit ribosomal RNA", at positions 338 to 795 of the family's 1533-position model. The record is from RNAcentral.